Molecule: ribosomal RNA, 265 nt
Filed under: uncultured prokaryote
Description: partial 16S ribosomal RNA
Rfam family: Bacterial small subunit ribosomal RNA
Source: RNAcentral
UACGUAGGGUACGAGCGUUGUCCGGAAUUAUUGGGCGUAAAGAGCUCGUAGGUGGUUGGUCACGUCUGCUGUGGAAACGCAACGCUUAACGUUGCGCGGGCAGUGGGUACGGGCUGACUAGAGUGCAGUAGGGGAGUCUGGAAUUCCUGGUGUAGCGGUGAAAUGCGCAGAUAUCAGGAGGAACACCGGUGGCGAAGGCGGGACUCUGGGCUGUAACUGACACUGAGGAGCGAAAGCAUGGGGAGCGAACAGGAUUAGAUACCCU